Molecule: transfer RNA, 76 nt
Filed under: Lentisphaerota bacterium
Lineage: Bacteria; Pseudomonadati; Lentisphaerota
Description: Lentisphaerae bacterium (anaerobic digester metagenome) tRNA-Ile
Rfam family: tRNA
About the family: Transfer RNA (tRNA) molecules are approximately 80 nucleotides in length. Their secondary structure includes four short double-helical elements and three loops (D, anti-codon, and T loops).
Source: RNAcentral
GGGCCUUUAGCUCAAUGGUUAGAGCAGGGGACUCAUAAUCCCUUGGUUGGGGGUUCGAAUCCCUCAGGGCCCGCCA